GUUUGAUCCUGGCUCAGGAUGAACGCUAGCUACAGGCUUAACACAUGCAAGUCGAGGGGCAGCAUGGUCUUAGCUUGCUAAGGCCGAUGGCGACCGGCGCACGGGUGAGUAACACGUAUCCAACCUGCCGUCUACUCUUGGACAGCCUUCUGAAAGGAAGAUUAAUACAAGAUGGCAUCAUGAGUCCGCAUGUUCACAUGAUUAAAGGUAUUCCGGUAGACGAUGGGGAUGCGUUCCAUUAGAUAGUAGGCGGGGUAACGGCCCACCUAGUCUUCGAUGGAUAGGGGUUCUGAGAGGAAGGUCCCCCACAUUGGAACUGAGACACGGUCCAAACUCCUACGGGAGGCAGCAGUGAGGAAUAUUGGUCAAUGGGCGAGAGCCUGAACCAGCCAAGUAGCGUGAAGGAUGACUGCCCUAUGGGUUGUAAACUUCUUUUAUAAAGGAAUAAAGUCGGGUAUGGAUACCCGUUUGCAUGUACUUUAUGAAUAAGGAUCGGCUAACUCCGUGCCAGCAGCCGCGGUAAUACGGAGGAUCCGAGCGUUAUCCGGAUUUAUUGGGUUUAAAGGGAGCGUAGAUGGAUGUUUAAGUCAGUUGUGAAAGUUUGCGGCUCAACCGUAAAAUUGCAGUUGAUACUGGAUAUCUUGAGUGCAGUUGAGGCAGGCGGAAUUCGUGGUGUAGCGGUGAAAUGCUUAGAUAUCACGAAGAACUCCGAUUGCGAAGGCAGCCUGCUAAGCUGCAACUGACAUUGAGGCUCGAAAGUGUGGGUAUCAAACAGGAUUAGAUACCCUGGUAGUCCACACGGUAAACGAUGAAUACUCGCUGUUUGCGAUAUACGGCAAGCGGCCAAGCGAAAGCGUUAAGUAUUCCACCUGGGGAGUACGCCGGCAACGGUGAAACUCAAAGGAAUUGACGGGGGCCCGCACAAGCGGAGGAACAUGUGGUUUAAUUCGAUGAUACGCGAGGAACCUUACCCGGGCUUAAAUUGCAGAUGAAUUACGGUGAAAGCCGUAAGCCGCAAGGCAUCUGUGAAGGUGCUGCAUGGUUGUCGUCAGCUCGUGCCGUGAGGUGUCGGCUUAAGUGCCAUAACGAGCGCAACCCUUGUUGUCAGUUACUAACAGGUCAUGCUGAGGACUCUGACAAGACUGCCAUCGUAAGAUGUGAGGAAGGUGGGGAUGACGUCAAAUCAGCACGGCCCUUACGUCCGGGGCUACACACGUGUUACAAUGGGGGGUACAGAGGGCCGCUACCACGCGAGUGGAUGCCAAUCCCCAAAACCUCUCUCAGUUCGGACUGGAGUCUGCAACCCGACUCCACGAAGCUGGAUUCGCUAGUAAUCGCGCAUCAGCCACGGCGCGGUGAAUACGUUCCCGGGCCUUGUACACACCGCCCGUCAAGCCAUGGGAGCCGGGGGUACCUGAAGUGCGUAACCGCGAGGAGCGCCCUAGGGUAAAACUGGUGACUGGGGCUAAGUCGUAACAAGGUAGCCGU
Molecule: ribosomal RNA, 1488 nt
Filed under: Lactococcus lactis
Lineage: Bacteria; Bacillati; Bacillota; Bacilli; Lactobacillales; Streptococcaceae
Also listed under: 1 other name
Description: bacterial SSU rRNA
Rfam family: Bacterial small subunit ribosomal RNA
Source: RNAcentral